AUGGGGGAGGGGAACGGGACUGCGUGGGCGGGGGCGCUGUCGCCGGCGGCGCGGUACGCGGAGACGGGAGGGGCGAGCUUGACAUGGGAGAACCUAACGGCCGUGCUGCCUGGGUCCGGCGGCCGGCCGACCAAGAAGCUCUUGCAGGGGCUGUACGGCUACGCCGUGCCCGGCAGGAUCGUCGCCAUCAUGGGGCCCUCCGGCUCCGGCAAGUCCACCCUCCUCGACUCCCUCUCCGGGAGGCUGGCGAGGAAUGUGCUCCAAACCGGCAAGGUGCUGCUCAACGGCAAGAAGAGGCGGCUCGACUUUGGCGCGGUGGCGUACGUGACACAGGAGAACGUUCUGCUGGGCACGCUGACCGUCCGGGAGACGGUGACCUACUCGGCGCAGCUGCGGCUGCCGUCGAGCAUGUCAAAGGCUGAGGUGCGCCGUGUCGUCGACGACACGCUGGAUGAGAUGGGCCUCCGGGAGUGCGCUGAGCGGCCCAUCGGCACGUGGCACCUCCGGGGCAUCAGCGGCGGCGAGAAGAAGCGUCUGUGCAUCGCGCUGGAGAUCCUCACCCGGCCGCGCCUCCUCUUCCUCGAUGAGCCCACCAGCGGUCUCGACAGCGCCUCUGCCUUCUCCGUCAUCGAGACGCUCCGCACACUUGCCAUUGAUGGCGGACGCACCAUUGUCUCGUCGGUGCACCAGCCCAGCAGCGAGGUAUUCGCGCUCUUCGACGAUCUCUGCCUCCUCUCCAGUGGCGAGAGUGUCUACUUCGGGGAUGCCAAGCUUGCACCACAGUUCUUUGCAGAAACCGGAUUCCCCUGCCCGAGCCGGAGGAACCCUUCCGACCACUUCCUCCGGUGCGUCAAUUCGGACUUCGACGAUGUCGCCACGGCCCUGAAAGGAUCCAUGAAGCUCCAAGCAGAGGCAGAUCUUGAUCCCCUGUUGAAGUACUCGACUACGGAGAUCCGAGAGCGGCUCGUGGAUAAGUACCGGAUCUCAGACUACGCCAUGAUGGUUAGGAACACAAUACACGAGAUAAGCAAAAUAGAGGGUGUGAUGGAGGAGGCAGUGAAGGGCAGCCAAGCGACCUGGUGCAAGCAGCUGCGCACGCUGACCAAGCGCUCCUACAUCAACAUGUACCGUGACUUCGGCUACUACAGGCUGCGCAUCAUCAUCUACGUCCUGAUGGCCAUCUGCCUCGGUACCAUCUACUACGACGUCGGCAACGGCUACACUGCGAUCCAGGCGCGUGCCUCGUGCGGCGGCUUCGUCUCGGGCUUCAUGACGUUCAUGUCCAUCGGCGGCUUCCCCUCCUUCAUCGAGGAGAUGAAGGUCUUCUCCCUCGAGCGGCAGAACGGCCACUACGGCGUCGCCGCCUACAUCAUCUCCAACUUCCUCUCCUCCAUGCCGUUCCUGUUGACCAUGUCCUGGGCCAGCGCCUCCAUCACAUACUGGAUGGUCAAGUUCCGGCCAGGAUUCAGCUACUUCGCCUUCUUCGCCCUCAACCUCUAUGGUGGCGUCUCCGUCAUCGAGAGCCUCAUGAUGAUCAUCUCCGCUCUUGUGCCCAACUUCCUCAUGGGGCUCAUCCUUGGCGCCGGCGUCAUUGGGAUCAUGAUGUUGACGUCUGGAUUCUUCCGGCUCCUUCCAGAACUUCCCAAGAUAUUUUGGAAAUACCCAGUGUCCUACAUUGUCUACGGAUCUUGGGGUUUGAAGGGUGCAUACAAGAACGACCUGCUCGGGCUGGAGUUCGAGCCGAUGACGCCGGGAGGGGAGAAGCUGACUGGCGAGUUCAUCAUCACCAACAUGAUGGGGCUGAGCGUCAGCUACUCCAAGUGGCUAGACCUAGCCAUGAUCUUCAUACUCCUCCUGGCCUACCGCAUCACCUUCUUCUUCGUCCUCAAGGUCAAGGAGGCCGCCGCGCCCUACCUCCGCGUCGCCUACACGCGGUUCACCGUGAAGCGCCUUGAGCGGCGGGCGUCCUUCAGGGAGUCGCUGGCCAUGACGUCCUUGUCCAAGCGGCACAACGCACCGCACCCCAUGGCCAUGCAGGAGGGGCUCAACUCCCCCAUGCAGCAGUACUGA
This 2070-nucleotide ribosomal RNA is filed under the name Triticum aestivum (bread wheat). RNAcentral's name for it is "partial small subunit ribosomal RNA". The record is from RNAcentral. Lineage: Eukaryota; Viridiplantae; Streptophyta; Magnoliopsida; Poales; Poaceae.